AGAUAAAAGAGGCUAACAGAAAUUGAUCGUUAACGGAUUUUUUUCGAGUGUAAAAGAGAAGGAAAUCCAGACUCUGUACAUAUAUAGACAGAUGGAUUUGUACGUAUAUCCCUAUAACCUAUAGGGUGAAGCUUUUAAUCUGAAUAUACGCAGAUACAGACCCUGAUCAUCAACCGUUGGGGUCAUACAAUCAUAUAUAUAAGAAAAACGAGGGAAAAUUCCUUCGGGUUCAGCCGGCAAAAGUCGCCGGGCUCAUUUUUCAACUAAUUGCCCAUCCAGAUCUGGU
This 286-nucleotide long non-coding RNA is filed under the name Panax ginseng (ginseng). Its description in RNAcentral is "long non-coding RNA (PGIN_LNC010187)". The record is from RNAcentral. Lineage: Eukaryota; Viridiplantae; Streptophyta; Magnoliopsida; Apiales; Araliaceae.